AAACACAUUGUUAGAUAAACUUAAAUCAUUUCUAAAAAUCGUGCAACUAUUAAUAACAUAAAAAAAUUAAAUUCUGAAAUGAUUAUAGGUUUUAAAUAUUGCGGAAAAUGUGUGCAUUUAUGUGUUAUAAAUUAAAAUCAGGCCAAUCUUCUAAAAGUUCAUUAUAAUGAAUUUGUUACCUUAAAAGUUUAAGAACGCCCAACAAAUUUUUUUGUAGAAACUUAUCGUCAUAUUUAACUCUAAUAAAGAAGACUAAUAAUAGGUAUAACACGAGCAUAUUGCAAGUAAGUGUUCGUUAAGGGUUAAAAAUAAAUUCGACUCUGAUUUCCAUGUUUGAGAUUUCCGAAAUGCUCAUUCAAACCGUUUCAAUUACUAAUUACAAAUAAUAACUCCACUUACUAACGAGGAAAGGUUAAGAUACAAUUAUGAAAAGCAGAGUAAAUGACAGCACCCUCAUUUAGAUUGAUGACAUAGAUACAUAGAAGCCAUGUCAUUGUCCCUUUUGGCAAAGGAAGGAGGUUACACCCCAUUGACAUAGCUUAUAACAAUAAUAAUAUAGUGCAAUCCACAUUCAUUGCGAAUAAUGCAUUUGUAUGUGUCUAUGGGAAAGUAGACAUUAUGGUGUAAUACAAAACUGCCCACUAAAGCGCAAAUACCUCUUAUUCAAGUGUAGGUCGGUUAAAUUUGUAAAAUGACAAUAAUCUAUGGCGUUUCUAGCUGUAACAAAGUUCGCAUCAGUCUUGAUUUUUCAUUGCUAAAAUGCUACUGUUAUAUACCAAUAGUACAACUUUUAAUUAGAUGAAGCUUUUCAAAAAAUGAAAAAACCAACAACAAAGAAAUAAAUAGAAACGGGGGAUUAACUAUUGACACUAUGAAAUUAUUGAUAUACAUGUGUUCAUUGCGUACAAAAAAAUACAAAAAAAAGCUAUUGGGAGGUCAAUAGAUAUAAAAGAAUUAAAAUGUAUCGCAAAAAAAUUGAAAUCUAAUCUACAAAAGAUAAGAAAAUAAAACCUUUCAAAAAAGUAAUUCCGGGUUUCCCAAUGACAUUUAUAUUUAAUUUUUGAUAUUAACUUUGAUCUAAAUUACAACUCAUUAUUUAUCUUGCUACAAAAAAAGAUUGUAUUAUAAUACAAAUAAAAUCCUCAAUCAAGAUAAUAAUACACACAGGGUGGAACGCUCAAAUGAUCUAUCCUUGAAAAUAAUAAUCUGGAAAAGUCUCUGCUAGCAACAAUCUUGAACGUGAUUUUUCAUCUAUCUUUUUUUAUACGAAUAGAAAAUGUCGUAAACCUACAAAUCGUUUUUUCCAAGUAUUGUCGAAUAUCUAAGUAAUAAGUAGUAUUUGUAAUCGAUACAAUUUUUACGUCAUCAUAUUUCCCUUCCUUUAUUACGGUAAAUAUGACAACAUAGUUUUCCCUCAAAUAUGACUCGGCAGGAAAUACAUUUGAGUUAAAAUUAAAUACAUUAUCUAUCAAACCAUUUUUAAUCGAAAUGCAAACUAAAUAAUCUGGCUCAAAAUAAAUGCUACAUUUAUUUAUUUUAGUUAGGUCUGCGCGGCUAAUAGCUUGAGAAGUAAACCAGAAGAACGACGCGGCGAUGAAUGCGGAAACUGCAAUGAACCAAAGAAAUUAAUUUGGUUGUAAAAGAACAUAUAUCAAAAAAUUUGGAAAAAUAUACUACAGAAAAGAUAAAACAUUAUUAUUCAGGAAAUAGAAAUGACUUUGACAUUAAAAAACGUCAAUGUACGAAUUAAGGCAACAUUGGAAUUACAAAUUUAAUAUUUACAUUCAUGAAGAGAUAUUUGAAAAAUCAUGUGGUGUGUUUGGUGUGAAAUAAUAACUUCGCGAAGGUCUUAGAAAAUGAAGUCAUGUUUGCUGAAGGCGAUCUCUGGCGACGCAGUCACACGGAAUACGUUCAGCAGUCUCUGACUUGUCAUUGCAAAAUAGACUAGUUUGAUCCCCAGCGUGUCCAAAGUUGAAGAGAUGGUAAUUUAGGGACUUGUAGCCUGAGGCAUAAAACUUCUUUGGUUUUCUUUUGCGAAGGAGUUAUGUUACUCUUCGCUUGUUUGGAAGUCCUGGAAGCCUGUUCCAUUUAGAGUAUAAAUUCAAAAUAUUUGUGAUUAUUUUUUGGUUAAUAUUUUCAAAAUUACAGCUUUAAACGCUGUUACUGGUCAAUUUCUAGAUUUAUGUGAUAAAUUCAAUAAGAUAAUAAAAGUGGCCCUUAAUCAAUUAAUCAACUUAAUUGACUUACCCCGUGCGUUCAAUAUUGAUUUAUUAUUUAACAUUUAAAAGAAUUAUAAAUAAACAAUAUUUUAUAAAUACAA
This 2320-nucleotide long non-coding RNA is filed under the name Onthophagus taurus. RNAcentral's name for it is "uncharacterized LOC111416489". Lineage: Eukaryota; Metazoa; Arthropoda; Insecta; Coleoptera; Scarabaeidae. The record is from RNAcentral.